Molecule: ribosomal RNA, 851 nt
Filed under: uncultured Staphylococcus sp.
Lineage: Bacteria; Bacillati; Bacillota; Bacilli; Caryophanales; Staphylococcaceae
Description: bacterial SSU rRNA
Rfam family: Bacterial small subunit ribosomal RNA
Source: RNAcentral
CAAGUCGAGCGAACGGACGAGAAGCUUGCUUCUCUGAUGUUAGCGGCGGACGGGUGAGUAACACGUGGAUAACCUACCUAUAAGACUGGGAUAACUUCGGGAAACCGGAGCUAAUACCGGAUAAUAUUUUGAACCGCAUGGUUCAAAAGUGAAAGACGGUCUUGCUGUCACUUAUAGAUGGAUCCGCGCUGCAUUAGCUAGUUGGUAAGGUAACGGCUUACCAAGGCAACGAUGCAUAGCCGACCUGAGAGGGUGAUCGGCCACACUGGAACUGAGACACGGUCCAGACUCCUACGGGAGGCAGCAGUAGGGAAUCUUCCGCAAUGGGCGAAAGCCUGACGGAGCAACGCCGCGUGAGUGAUGAAGGUCUUCGGAUCGUAAAACUCUGUUAUUAGGGAAGAACAUAUGUGUAAGUAACUGUGCACAUCUUGACGGUACCUAAUCAGAAAGCCACGGCUAACUACGUGCCAGCAGCCGCGGUAAUACGUAGGUGGCAAGCGUUAUCCGGAAUUAUUGGGCGUAAAGCGCGCGUAGGCGGUUUUUUAAGUCUGAUGUGAAAGCCCACGGCUCAACCGUGGAGGGUCAUUGGAAACUGGAAAACUUGAGUGCAGAAGAGGAAAGUGGAAUUCCAUGUGUAGCGGUGAAAUGCGCAGAGAUAUGGAGGAACACCAGUGGCGAAGGCGACUUUCUGGUCUGUAACUGACGCUGAUGUGCGAAAGCGUGGGGAUCAAACAGGAUUAGAUACCCUGGUAGUCCACGCCGUAAACGAUGAGUGCUAAGUGUUAGGGGGUUUCCGCCCCUUAGUGCUGCAGCUAACGCAUUAAGCACUCCGCCUGGGGAGUACGACCGCA